This 204-nucleotide ribosomal RNA is filed under the name uncultured bacterium. RNAcentral describes it as "partial 16S ribosomal RNA". It matches the Rfam family "Bacterial small subunit ribosomal RNA", at positions 328 to 538 of the family's 1533-position model. The record is from RNAcentral.
ACGCUCGACACCUACGGGAGCAGCAGUGGGGAAUAUUGCACAAUGGGGGAAACCCUGAUGCAGCGACGCCGCGUGAGCGAAGAAGUAUUUCGGUAUGUAAAGCUCUAUCAGCAGGGAAGAAGAAAGACGGUACCUGACUAAGAAGCCCCGGCUAACUACGUGCCAGCAGCCGGACGGUAAUCUGAGGCGGGCGUGGACGAAGGC